This 311-nucleotide ribosomal RNA is filed under the name uncultured soil bacterium. Its description in RNAcentral is "bacterial SSU rRNA". It matches the Rfam family "Bacterial small subunit ribosomal RNA", at positions 26 to 329 of the family's 1533-position model. The record is from RNAcentral.
AGAGUGAACGCUGGCGGUAGGCCUAACACAUGCAAGUCGAACGGCAGCACGGUAAGAGCUUGCUCUUAUGGAUGGCGAGUGGCGGACGGGUGAGGAAUACAUCGGAAUCUACCUUUUGGUGGGGGAUAACGUAGGGAAACUUACGCUAAUACCGCAUACGCCCUUCGGGGGAAAGCCGGGGACCAGCAAUGGCCUGGCGCUGAUAGAUGAGCCGAUGUCGGAUUAGCUAGUUGGUGAGGUAAUGGCUCACCAAGGCGACGAUCCGUAGCUGGUCUGAGAGGAUGAUCAGCCACACUGGAACUGAGACACGG